Molecule: ribosomal RNA, 253 nt
Filed under: uncultured prokaryote
Description: partial 16S ribosomal RNA
Rfam family: Bacterial small subunit ribosomal RNA
Source: RNAcentral
ACGUAGGGAGCAAGCGUUGUUCGGAUUUACUGGGCGUAAAGGGCGCGUAGGUGGCCCGGUCAGCGUGCGGUGAAAGCUCGGGGCUCAACCCCGAGUCGGCCGUGCGAACUGCUGGGCUCGAGCACUGUAGAGGCAGGCGGAAUUCCGGGUGUAGCGGUGGAAUGCGUAGAGAUCCGGAAGAACACCGGUGGCGAAGGCGGCCUGCUGGGCAGUGGCUGACACUGAGGCGCGACAGCGUGGGGAGCAAACAGGA